UGUCAAGGGAUGGUAAUCGAACCCACGACCUUCCGCUUACCGGGCAGAUGCCAUGACCACUAGGCUACCCUGGAC
Molecule: transfer RNA, 75 nt
Filed under: Cordylochernes scorpioides
Lineage: Eukaryota; Metazoa; Arthropoda; Arachnida; Pseudoscorpiones; Chernetidae
Description: tRNA-Thr
Source: RNAcentral